Molecule: non-coding RNA, 23 nt
Filed under: Arabidopsis thaliana (thale cress)
Lineage: Eukaryota; Viridiplantae; Streptophyta; Magnoliopsida; Brassicales; Brassicaceae
Source: RNAcentral
AUGAUCUCGCCGUCCCACUCCAC